ACGUAGGGGGCAAGCGUUGAUCGGAAUCACUGGGCUUACAGCGCGUGUAGGCGGGGCAGCAGGUCUUCUGUGAAAGCCCCCGGCUCAACCGGGGAAUUGCUGGGGAAACCGCCGCUCUUGAGGCAGGUAGAGGUUACCGGAACGUGUGGUGGAGCGGUGAAAUGCGUAGAGAUCACGCGGAACGCCGAUGGUGAAGGCGGGUCACUGGGCCUGUCCUGACGCUGAGACGCGAGAGCGUGGGGAGCAAACAG
Molecule: ribosomal RNA, 251 nt
Filed under: uncultured prokaryote
Description: partial 16S ribosomal RNA
Rfam family: Bacterial small subunit ribosomal RNA
Source: RNAcentral